GCCUCUGUAGCUCAGUGGUAGAGCGGCUGCCUUGUAAGCAGUAGGUCGUAGGUUCAAAUCCUGCCAGAGGCU
Molecule: transfer RNA, 72 nt
Filed under: Candidatus Woesearchaeota archaeon CG10_big_fil_rev_8_21_14_0_10_34_12
Lineage: Archaea; Nanobdellati; Candidatus Woesearchaeota
Description: tRNA-Thr
Rfam family: tRNA
About the family: Transfer RNA (tRNA) molecules are approximately 80 nucleotides in length. Their secondary structure includes four short double-helical elements and three loops (D, anti-codon, and T loops).
Source: RNAcentral